RNAcentral lists this long non-coding RNA (5379 nucleotides) under Xyrichtys novacula (pearly razorfish). The record is from RNAcentral. Lineage: Eukaryota; Metazoa; Chordata; Actinopteri; Labriformes; Labridae.
UCUUUCCCUCUGUCCUUGUUGGUUCAUUGUAUGUCGAUGUGUGUGUUGUCCUUGUUGACGGCGCAUCCCCAGUGAGUCUCCAUGUGAUUUUAUCCACAGUGUCUUUAGUUGGAUUUUGCCUUUGAGAUUUUUUGGUUGGACAUCGUAAAGUAGGUUUUUGUUGCUUCUUAUUUUGCUCUUUCAAAUUAAAUCUUUUUUUUUUUUGUCUGUAUUUGGAUCCUUUCCUUUUUAUCUAACCCUGGCUCAUGACACUGUACAUAGAACUCAAUGUGAAUACUGUCAUCCACUUCAAAACCAGGACCUUUAAUGUGCAGUAACUUCUUAUUGUUGGGUUUAUGCCUUUUAGGAACUUUUAAAAACGAAAUAUUCUGAAACCUUCACCUUCUUAUACGAAAAGCCUGAAAUGUUUUCAAAGUUUGUCGUUUCAACUUUUAGAAAUUUACCUUUAAAAACUCCUUUAAAAUUGUUCAGAUUUUAAUUUAAAGUUUCUAGAUCAGGUGUCAAAGAUUCAAAGUCAGGCUGAACACCAGAAGAAUGUUUUUAUGCUGAUGAAUAGAAGUACUUCAUGUUCAAUUAAAAUAAAGAAUAAAGUGUUUUAUUAGAGCCUGAAGUGAAGGUUACGCUGUGAAAGGAGAUGUCAACUCUGAGUGUGGAACAGGCAGGUUUACCGUUAGCAUGCUGUGUGACCACCAGCCCUUACUUCCUUCCUCUCUGCUGGCCUGGUACAGGGGUGUGUGUGUGUGUGUGUGUGUCCUGUUCUCCCAUAGCUUGUGCAUUUGUGUGUGUGUGUGUGUGUGUGUGUGUGUGUGUGUGUGUGUGUGUGUGUGUGUGUGUGUGUGUGUGCAUGUUUUUAGGUCACACUUGAGCAUACACAGGAGGUCAGGUGAGUUUGGGUCUGGUUCCUGAUUCCUGGAAGAGUGGACAGCUGCAGAGUCUCACAUAAAUGACAUGACAAGAGACGCGCACACGCACACACAUACACACACACACACAGUUAGACACCAGCCGAGCUCAGACAUUCAUCUUUGUCUGAGUUCCUCUGGUUGUUUCUGUUUCUAUUCUGCGAGGUUGGUACUUUAAGCAGGAAUGAAUAUUGAACCAAUCAUAAUGUGCUGAUUACACUAAAGCUCCUGGGAUUGGUAAAUUUCAAAUACGGGGUCACACUUGUUGUCAGAUUUGACAUUUUCUGCACUUAUGUUUUGAUUGUAAAACUUCAGAUUAAAUAAAAUAUUCAAAAUGUCACUUUUACAUCUCAGAUUGGAAUUAAAAUCAGGCUUAUUGAAGGAAACCAGUCUAGAUUCCUUAAAGGAUGGUGUUGGAUAAAGUCUCAUGCACCUCUGUUGAAGACUUUCCUGGCACUUCUCCACAUAUAUGUGCUGACUGAGAGCAAAAUGGAACAUGUUCCAGUGUCUGACCACCUUUCUAAAUCUAAUCAUGUCUUAUCGGCCCACCUCGCUCUCCUGUACACAGACUUAUCUGAGGGGCCAUUAAAGCAGCUUCCCCGUGUAGUCCUCCUAUCUUCAGACGGUGAUAAGAUACCUGAGAGGGGGGCAGACCACAGCAGGGUCCAGCCAGGGUCUCCCACAAGGCCAUAAACAGGUUGUCUGCAUAGUCUCAGAGACAUGGCUCUGCUGUGAUGCAGUGGAGGAGCCGCGGUCUCCUGCUCUCUUACCUCUGUGUAAAUACACCGCUCUUUGUUUAUACAGCGCGGUGUGGCUUCAGGUUCCAGGGACCAUCACUCUGGGUCUGGGUCAGAUCGCCAGAAACACACACACACACACAUACACACAAGCAGUACUUUGCACAUGUGGCUAAACACGCACACACAUAUUCAUCCUAAUGCAAACCAGACUCCCCCUCUCCCUCUUUUCUUCUUGGAGAGAGAGAGAGGGAGAGGGAGCGGUAGUAGGGAGACCGCACAGCGUUGGAUCGGGGCCAAAUGGACCAGCGGAGCUUGUUUGGAAAGCUUUCAGUCAGAAAGCCACUUUUUGGCAGGGGCCCUGUGAGUGCUGCUGAGCCCUCUGAAGCGGGCUGGAGCUGCUAAAAUAAAUAAUGGUUAGGGCCGAGGGGGUAAGAGUGGUGUUGGAGGGUGGGGGGUAGAAGGGUAGAGGGGUAGCAGGAGGAAAAAGGAGGGUUGGGGAACUGGUGGAGGAGGAAGGAGAGAGACGGGAGGGUGGGGGAAAGAGGGGUGAGGUUUUAGAGACCGCUCCUGUAAUUAUAUCUGUCAGUCGACACCAAGGCACUUGGACCGCCAACGCUCACGUUUCCCCCUCGCUCUCUCGCUGUCACCAGAAAGAGAGAGAGAGCGAGGGGAAGAGAGCGAAUGUACUUUGUGUGUCUGAAUUCGUCCGACUGCAUACACACUUUUUAUGUGUGCAUCAGCAUGUGUCUGUGAACAGUCUUGUGAGCUCCCUGGGUGGUGUGUUAGUGUGUGUGUGAGUGUGUGUUCGCCAGUGGGCCUGCAGGGAAACAAACCUGGUCAUUCUGGGAGAGGGAGAUAAGGAGGUGUUUCACACGAGAGUAUGUUGGUCUUUCAGCGGGGAGCAGAGUAGUGGCCCCUCUGUACACCGGCUCACCAGAAAAUAGACCAGAACAGCUUUUCACACAUAUGCUGAGUGGGACAUAUGCACAAAGUGUUGAGGAAGGUGUGCAACUAAAAUGGAUCUAUUAUUCUUUAUUGAAAAACGUGAUGAUGGAUUUUAUGGAGCAGCCUAUCACUGCAUCUAGUGUGUUUAUGUCUAAUCUGAUCUAUUUGACUUGAGAGGCUGAUUAUUUCUGAGGCUUUUCCACGCCCUGUUGAGACGACAGGACAGUGGAUAGAGUGAGAAACCGGGGUAAGAUGGCGAGGAUUGACAUACCUCAAAGUGCCAUGACUCAGAUUUGAACUCUGCCCCUUUUAGGACUAUGGCCUCUGUACAUGUGUGUUCUAGUUUGACCGUGGAGCCAUCUGAGAGUGCAAAGUUAGACAACUUAAAGGGAUAUUCCUGCGUAAAAUUGAAAUUAUGGACAAACACACCAUAACAUCGAGUUAGACACCCCCUUGAGAGAUGAAUGUUGCUGACUGCUUGCUUCUCUAGUUAUACCAACUAUAGCAAUGGUCGCACGACAGCGAUACACAGCGGUCUACGUCUCCACAUGCAAACCUCAACCAAAGAGCCACUCUAUAGCCACAAAUAAUGCUCAAAACAGCACCUAACUUCAUCAACAGUACAUAUAGGGUCCCAGCCAUAGUACUAGCCACCAAACAUCUUUUUAGCUUUGCCUGAUUCUUUAGCAAAGAGACUCAGUCUGAUUGCAUUUCCAUGAAGUAAUAAUCAUAAAUGUUCUUCCUUGAGCUGCGAAACUCCGCUGCACUAAGAGUUAAUCUCUUUACAUUCAAAUCAAACAGAAGUCGACGUCAACGUUAACAUUAAAAACCUGCUGAAAGUCUGACAACCUGUAGGAUGAUAGUAAGGAAACAGUCCAGUAAUAGACUUUCUCAUAACACGCUACAUCCAUAAAGACCCACGGACUGAUUCAGAUCUACAACGGCAGUAUGCUAAUGCUUAUGUUGUCCACGAUCCAUCUUACCAUGCAAGAGCUCUUUCUUAGGUGAACAUCAUAGACACUAGUGGAGUGAUCCAGAUCCUUUGGCUCAACAACUAGAGGCCUUUUUAGUCCCCAAACAGCUCUACAUAGUGUCAUCCAUGAGUUGUAUCAUGUACUGUAUAGUAGGCUGACUUUUACAGCUGAGUGGGGACCGACACAGACUCCCCACUUCAGUGCAGAUGUCUGCUCCCACGCUGUUGCAUUCAGGUAAUAAAACCAGGUAAUAUGAAAAUGACGUCAUUGAACUAAAGCUGGAUUUAAUGGAUGUUAAAGCGUUUGAUAGUCAUAGUUUCAUUAAAAACAAGUGACACCAAAGAUUAACAGAGUUCUGUUUCUGUGUUUGACGGUUACUUUACUGAUGUACUCGUACACACAGCUUUACAUGAUCUCAGUAAGAAAUGAGAUAAUAAAAGGCACACACGCAUCGAUUCAAUGCUAAUUACGCCAACCUACAUAUGUGUCCUUGCACAUGUAAGAUUCUCACAUCUCUCUCUAUCUGUCUAAUUCUUUCUCUUUCUUCUCUAGCUUUGUAGUGAUCCGCUCAGCUCUCUGAUCUCUGCUGGGAUCAGGUCCAAAGAUCUCACCCCAGAGACACAAUUACCACACUGGGCUAAAUGUGCCGCCCACAAGCUACAGUGCCCAUCAAAGGCCCUCCGAACUCUGCAACCCUUUUUCCUUUAGGUUUUACAUUAAAAGUAUGUUUUCGGUCACAUGUACACUGUACAGUUUUUCUUCUUCUAUGGUCUUUCAGAUGACCUCGAAUGUGGGAUCAGGAUUCUGAAAACAGGGCAAAGAGGACACGAUGGGUGCUGUUUAUGACUCAAUCAGUGUGUUUACAUGCGCAGCUUAUUUGGACUAAGCUCAUAAUUUGUUUUUUUUUCCGCAGAAUCCGACUUCUCUCCUUGUCCACGUAUUGCUGCAGCUGAGAAAAUCUAAUUAUUGAUGUGAAUGUGUCCUCCUCUCCAAAACUAGGGGGCAAUAUGGGUCUUUUCAGCUGUGCUGUUUCCAGAACUUUUUUAAAGAUGCUCCUUUCCUCGUUUUGUGACCGUCCAUAUACUUUAAAAUGCCCAUUUCUGUCAGGACAGAAAGCAUAACAGCACUCUCCUCGUCGUUCCAAAAGUGGACAUUCUUUCGUGCUUCAACCAUGAGUCAGAAGUUCUUUAAAUGAUAGUGCCACCUCCUCUCUGGUGUUUUUGUUCCAGGGUUACGUAGGCAUUGCGCACGCGCAAAUGCAUUGUCCAAUCAUACUCUGACUGCAUUGGUUACAUGGUAGAGAUCUAUCUGGGUGUCUUAAUCGGAGUUCUCAAACUCUGAUUAUAGUCAGACUAAGGUAUUUACGUGCACUUUAGUUGUCCAGUCUUAAUCAGACUAACCAGCAAUUUUUACCACAUCCGGAACGGCUACGAAAAGGCCAUAUCGACCGAUCGUUGCUGAUCAUAACCAUUCAAGUUAAUGUGUCAAUUUCCAUCGGCUUCUUUCCGUUCCGCUGCGGAUGGCCAGACUCCACAGCUGAUCGCAAGAGUUCUAUUUUUCCGGACGCCGGAACAUGUCAGAUAAAUUCAGCACAGAUUAACCCAUGCUGGAGAGGAAGUCGGGCACAGACACAAAAUAAAACAUCUGACUUCUUUUCAAAAUAAAACACUCCGUGUUUCAGGGGGAUCUUAUUUCACACCAUGCAAACAGGUGGGGAUGAACAAGUGAAAGGUUGUGAAAGUGAAACAUUUCACCCUGAUGACACCAAGGGUGAGGAGAUGCUGAUUCUAAAAGUCCAGAAGUGGAUUUCCUCCUCUG